GCGUCUUCAUGUACGUGUGGGUGUAGUAUAUAAGAGCUGGUCAAAGGGUCCCUCCUCAUCCAGUCCUCGUCAUCUUGCCCUCCUGCCAUCAUGCGUGCAUCCUACAUCCUCCUGGCGGUGCUGCUGCUGGCCGCUGUGGUUCUAGCGGCACCUGGUGGAUUCAAGAAGGGCGGGUAUGGUAGAAGAGGCCGUUCUCACCAUGUUAUUGUGCCCGUAUACACCCACUCCUACGGCGGAUACGGGGGAUACGGACACGGAGGAUACGGACACGGAGGAUACGGACACGGAGGAUACGGACACGGGGGCUAUGGAGGAUAUGGUGGAGGACACGUGAUCUCCUAUGGUGGUUAUGGUGGCGGCUACGGCGGCGGUUAUGGUGGUGGUUAUGGCGGCUACUGGUGAGAAACCAAAGUGAGAGUAAGAGUGUAACGCCCCUUCACCCCGUCACCCUAGUCACCCCUGCCUCCACUCCCCUUUCCCCUCCUCACUACCUCCGCCCCUAACCACGCCCUUCCAGUUCUACGUACAAAGCUAAAUAAAAUGCUUCUUAUACCUUA
RNA transcript from Portunus trituberculatus (swimming crab), 557 nucleotides. It is a transcript of the gene named glycine-rich cell wall structural protein-like, with no coding region annotated. The transcript is spliced from 3 exons. NCBI's taxonomy places the organism in Eukaryota, Metazoa, Arthropoda, Malacostraca, Decapoda, Portunidae. The record is from RefSeq and is a predicted model, not a curated record.